CCUACGGGUGGCAGCAGUGAGGAAUAUUGGUCAAUGGUCGAGAGUCUGAACCAGCCAAGUAGCGUGCAGGAUGACUGCCCUAUGGGUUGUAAACUUCUUUUAUACGGGAAUAAAAUGCUUCACGUGUGGGAUUUUGUAUGUACCAUAUGAAUAAGGACCGGCUAAUUCCGUGCCAGCAGCCGCGGUAAUACGGAGGAUCCGGGCGUUAUCCGGAUUUAUUGGGUUUAAAGGGAGCGUAGGUGGCUUGUUAAGUCUGUGGUGAAAGGUCGCGGCUCAACCGUAAAAGUGCAGUUGAAACUGGCAGUCUUGAGUACAGGAGAGGUGGGCGGAAUUCGUGGUGUAGCGGUGAAAUGCUUAGAUAUCACGAAGAACUCCGAUUGCGAAGGCAGCUCACUGGAGUGCAACUGACGCUGAGGCUCGAAAGUGUGGGUAUCGAACAGGAUUAGAUACCCGGGUAGUC
This 460-nucleotide ribosomal RNA is filed under the name uncultured bacterium. Its description in RNAcentral is "partial 16S ribosomal RNA". It matches the Rfam family "Bacterial small subunit ribosomal RNA", at positions 338 to 795 of the family's 1533-position model. The record is from RNAcentral.